UCCCUGCAGAUGGAGGGAAAGCAGCUAAGUAGUGUCAGCUGAAAACGCAUCGGGGUUGGGAUAACAGUAUAAAUGUGGAACACAUGGCAGAUUAAUACUGGAAUUAACAAGAGUCUUAUCUGGAGGCGUUCAAAAGAGCUACUGAGGUGGCUGUCCUGUACCGGAGUCCAAAGAGAUAGUAGGGGCCUGAUUUUUUAAAGAGGUGCUGAUCAUGCACAUCUCAGACCGGCUUUACAGGGAUCGCUGAAAUAUCAUGCUCCUACUUUUUACUUGGAGGUUCUUUCCAAUAUCGUAUCUUCUCCAAUAACCCCGUACCGAGCUAGACUGCUUUGGGUGACCACGUAGUAAUACUGUCUGCCUUCUUUAAAGUGACGGCUGGGAACUGGCUGUUGGCUGAAAUGAAGGCAGCCGCUUGGGGCCCGAUCCUCCCUCCACUGGGUGGGAGUGUAGCUUGCAAGAUAGCUGCGGGAUCAGGCCGUUCCUGAGAGCGGUGCCCCUGGGACAGAAGGGUGAUCUGAUUCCUUCCCCCAAAGAAGAGAGCCGCUGCCAGGAAAGGGAACGAGAAAAAGGACCGUCCUUGCCAAGGCUUACUUUGAGUGUUUGGCGUUUGCAAUACCUUGCUAAACUCGCAGGUCUAAAGCAAUGAUCAAACGAGUCCCCAAACCCUGCCAAGUGUAAACUCAAAUAUUUUGCAUGGGCUAAUUCUUGAAAGCCAGCAGCACGGAAGUCCGUGGGGCCAGGAUGUCACUCAUUGGCUCCUGUAUUCCGUACACAGCAGUCUGCAGCUUCGGGGACUACGUGCAGUGUGACGAAUGGAAGGAGCUUCGGGCUACGUGACUGAGCCCCUCCGCUGGAGACGCACGCACCUGUCUCUGUUCAGGAAAUCCCGACGGAUGCGCUUAUCACCUUCUUUAAGCAGAGCGCCGCUUUAACAUACGAAAGAGCCUCUGGUUGCACUCGAAUAGGAAGCAACCCAAUUGUGUGUGCGCGCGCGCUCGCUGUAGGGGGGGGGGUGGUAUCUAUUCUCGGGGCAUCUUGCGAACUGCUUCCCUCCAGAGACUCUUAGGGGGACUUGGGAAAUACUAUGUAACGAGAGAUUGGCGUCACCGGGCCAGUCUGUGUUUGAGAUUGUAUCUGCUGUUCCGAGUAAUCCUGGUCAGAGUAAUAAUUAGCACAGGAAAGAGCGAUCGCCAGUAGCAAUUGCUAAUA
Long non-coding RNA from Mauremys reevesii (Reeves's turtle), 1209 nucleotides. RefSeq lists it as uncharacterized. The record is from RefSeq and is a predicted model, not a curated record. The transcript is spliced from 2 exons. NCBI's taxonomy places the organism in Eukaryota, Metazoa, Chordata, Testudines, Geoemydidae.